Molecule: long non-coding RNA, 659 nt
Filed under: Theobroma cacao (cacao)
Lineage: Eukaryota; Viridiplantae; Streptophyta; Magnoliopsida; Malvales; Malvaceae
Description: long non-coding RNA (TCAC_LNC000032)
Source: RNAcentral
AGCUACAUUUUUCUGUGUUUCAGGUUUAAGACUGUAUGUUUGAGGGAUGGUUUGUGGUUUAAAAUUCUAGCAAGGAUAAGAUAAAAGGUUAGGUUUUGAGGGCUUUGAGGAUGCUGAAAUAGUGGGAAAGAGUUUAGUAUCAGAAUCUAAUGUGCUGGCAAAUAGAAUAAGCAGGAAAUAGAUAGAAGGAGAUAACAGAGGCAGAUCACCAGAAAGAUAGAAGAGAUGCCGGCUAUCAAACCUUAUUUGGAAGCAAAUUUUGUUGGGAAAGUUUUAUUAUUCUCUGUUCUAAAUCAGUACAAUGUUCUCCUGACGCGUAUAAGACUUGGGACUCCAAAUCAGUAAAACAACAGAGGAGGUCUCAUAAUCUAUUUCUAAUAUGACUGGGAAUCAUUGACCAACACAAGCAUAAAACUGCAAGUAUGACGUUUAUUUUAAGUCCAUUUGACUCUAGAUCCUUGAUAAUGCUCAAACAAACUAAACCUGGAGAAUUAUAACGUAAACAAACAUGAAAAUAGACUCAGUUUUAACUGGAGAAGUACUAACAUUUCCGAAAUAAUCCCAGGAAUAGUUGUUAGAUCUUGUCUUCCUUCUUGUUGCCCCCAUCAUUCACUUAUGCUCAUGCCUGACCUGGACAUUCUUGAAUAAGAUGCCAAGAA